RNAcentral lists this microRNA precursor (86 nucleotides) under Solanum tuberosum (potato). RNAcentral's name for it is "MIR8024 microRNA precursor family". It matches the Rfam family "MIR8024 microRNA precursor family". The record is from Rfam by way of RNAcentral. Lineage: Eukaryota; Viridiplantae; Streptophyta; Magnoliopsida; Solanales; Solanaceae.
UUAAAGAAUUUGAAGACUUCAUCUUGCAGACUUAAAGAAUUUGAAGACUUCAGCUUGUAUACUUGGAGGAUUUGAAAACUUCAAUU